Molecule: long non-coding RNA, 940 nt
Organism: Scophthalmus maximus (turbot)
Lineage: Eukaryota; Metazoa; Chordata; Actinopteri; Pleuronectiformes; Scophthalmidae
Exons: 2
Source: RefSeq, a predicted model, not a curated record
AAGGGGGGGGGGGGGGGGGGUAGAAAAAAAAGUCCAAAAGGCAGACAGCAACCACUGGAAAUUCCAGCCCCCUCCUCGGGCUGCGUGGUGCGUGUUCGCAGAAGCAGGAAGCUGCUUUAAGGUGACGUCACAGUCAACAGGGGGUCGACCGCGCGUGCGCAUUGAGACAGACUGCGCUCCUCCCGGGAUGAACAGCACCAGCAUCAGUUCUCGUCUGGUCGUCGCGUUGUGGCUGGAAACUGCUUCGAGCCUCCAAAAAGAGCUGCGAGGACUUUGAGGAAGAGCCUUGUGCCAAUAGUCCCUGUUUAGUUGCAGCCAUGGUGCCAGCAAUCCUCAAGGUGUAUCUAAUUGGAACCGUGCUGACCGUGCUCGCAGUCUUCUACGGGAUAGUGGACUCCUUCGGCGGCCUGAUGUACGCCCAGGACCAUAACUACAUGCUGGAGCGGGAUGAACAGACGCAGAGACAGCUCUCGACGAGGAACCGGCAGAGGGGAUCGCAUGUGACCAAAGGAAUCGGCUCAUAGAGGGCGAAAUGUGUUUGACUUGUGACUUUCUCAGGAGGUCUGCUGGACGGACGUGUUGGGACAGCGCGGACCGACGGACAGUGAUCACAGGAGAUGGAUAUGUUGUUAACAUGGAUGCCUAAUCCCACAGCAAGGCACUGUUAGUUCUUCGUCAACGCUGCUACACAUCUGAGGACAAAUGUCACGGCACUACUGAACAAUGAUUUGCACAAAAAAAAAUUGGAACUUUGGUUUUUUGGAAAAGUUUUUUUUUUUCUUCCCCAAGGUCAAUAUGUGUAUUUUUUGUUAUAUUUUAAUUUAAUAAAAGGAAUUGAAUGGAAUUGUGAUCGUAAAGUUAACUGCAGCCUCUCCCAAGAAACUGAACAGACUGAACAGAACCCAGAAUGUUUCAUAGGAAUAAAAUAUUGUGAACAUUU